GACGAACGCUGGCGGCGUGCUUAACACAUGCAAGUCGAACGGAAAGGCCUGCUUUCCCUUGUGGAUUGCGGGUACUCGAGUGGCGAACGGGUAAGUAACACGUGAGUGAUCUGCCCCCAACUUGGGUAUAAGCCUGGGAAACUGGGUCUAAUUCCCGAUAGGACUGCAGGGUGGUGCCUGUGGUGGAAAACGAUUUUCUAGUGGUGGGGGAUGAGCUCGCGGCCUAUCAGCUUGUUGGUGGGGUAAUGGCCUACCAAGGCGGCGACGGGUAGCCGGACUGGGAGGGUGGACGGCCACAUUGGGACUGAGAUACGGCCCAGGCUCCUACGGUAGGCAGCAGUUGGGAAUAUUGCAUGAUGGGCGGAAGCCUGCUGCAGCAACGCCGCGUGGGGGAUGUCGGCCUUCGUGUUGUAAUCUCCUUUCGGCCGCGAGGAAGCCACCUGGUUGGAAGGGUGGUGACGGUAGUGGUAGAAGAAGCACCGGCUAACUACGUG
RNAcentral lists this ribosomal RNA (494 nucleotides) under uncultured bacterium. Its description in RNAcentral is "partial 16S ribosomal RNA". It matches the Rfam family "Bacterial small subunit ribosomal RNA", at positions 28 to 507 of the family's 1533-position model. The record is from RNAcentral.